Molecule: ribosomal RNA, 468 nt
Filed under: uncultured bacterium
Lineage: Bacteria
Description: partial 16S ribosomal RNA
Rfam family: Bacterial small subunit ribosomal RNA
Source: RNAcentral
GACGAACGCUGGCGGCGUGCUUAACACAUGCAAGUCGAACGGAAAGGCCCUGCUUUUGUGGGGUGCUCGAGUGGCGAACGGGUGAGUAACACGUGAGUAACCUGCCCUUGACUUUGGGAUAACUUCAGGAAACUGGGGCUAAUACCGGAUAGGAGCUCCUGCUGCAUGGUGGGGGCUGGAAAGUUUCGGCGGUUGGGGAUGGACUCGCGGCUUAUCAGCUUGUUGGUGGGGUAGUGGCUUACCAAGGCUUUGACGGGUAGCCGGCCUGAGAGGGUGACCGGCCACAUUGGGACUGAGAUACGGCCCAGACUCCUACGGGAGGCAGCAGUGGGGAAUAUUGCACAAUGGGCGGAAGCCUGAUGCAGCAACGCCGCGUGCGGGAUGACGGCCUUCGGGUUGUAAACCGCUUUCGCCUGUGACGAAGCGUGAGUGACGGUAAUGGGUAAUGAAGCACCGGCUAACUACGUG